GAUGAACGCUAGCGACAGGCCUAACACAUGCAAGUCGAGGGGCAGCACAUGAGUAGCAAUACGAUGGUGGCGACCGGCGCACGGGUGAGUAACACGUAUGCAACCUGCCUUUACUAUGGGAUAACCCGUUGAAAGACGGACUAAUACCGUAUAAUACAGGGGCUCCGCAUGGAGAUAUUUGUUAAAGAUUUAUUGGUAGAAGAUGGGCAUGCGUAUGAUUAGAUAGUUGGUGAGGUAACGGCUCACCAAGUCAACGAUCAUUAGGGGUUCUGAGAGGAAGGUCCCCCACACUGGUACUGAGACACGGACCAGACUCCUACGGGAGGCAGCAGUGAGGAAUAUUGGUCAAUGGACGAGAGUCUGAACCAGCCAAGUCGCGUGAAGGAAGACGGUUCUAUGAAUUGUAAACUUCUUUUGUGCAGGAAUAAAGUGGGUUACGUGUAACCUUUUGUAUGUACUGUACGAAUAAGGAUCGGCUAACUCCGUG
Molecule: ribosomal RNA, 487 nt
Filed under: uncultured bacterium
Lineage: Bacteria
Description: bacterial SSU rRNA
Rfam family: Bacterial small subunit ribosomal RNA
Source: RNAcentral